RNAcentral lists this ribosomal RNA (254 nucleotides) under uncultured bacterium. Its description in RNAcentral is "partial 16S ribosomal RNA". It matches the Rfam family "Bacterial small subunit ribosomal RNA", at positions 524 to 776 of the family's 1533-position model. The record is from RNAcentral.
UACGAAGGGGGCUAGCGUUGCUCGGAAUCACUGGGCGUAAAGCGCACGUAGGCGGUCCGCUAAGUCAGGCGUGAAAUCCCCCGGCUCAACCGGGGAAUUGCGCCUGAUACUGGCGGGCUCGAGGUUGGUAGGGGUGAGCGGAACUCCAGGUGGAGCGGUGAAAUGCGUAGAUAUCUGGAGGAACACCGGUGGCGAAGGCGGCAUCCUGGACCAAUUCUGACGCUGAGUGAGCGAAAGCCAGGGGAGCAAACGGG